AGUGAACGCUGGCGGUAGGCCUAACACAUGCAAGUCGAACGGCAGCACAGUAAGAGCUUGCUCUUACGGGUGGCGAGUGGCGGACGGGUGAGGAAUACAUCGGAAUCUACUUUUUCGUGGGGGAUAACGUAGGGAAACUUCCGCUAAUACCGCAUACGACCUACGGGUGAAAGCAGGGGAUCUUCGGACCUUGCGCGAUUGAAUGAGCCGAGGUCGGAUUAGCUAGUUGGCGGGGUAAAGGCCCACCAAGGCAACGAUCCGUAGCUGGUCUGAGAGGGUGAUCGGCCACACUGGAACUGAGACACGGUCCAGACUCCUACGGGAGGCAGCAGUGGGGAAUAUUGGACAAUGGGCGCAAGCCUGAUCCAGCCAUACCGCGUGGGUGAAGAAGGCCUUCGGGCUGUAAAGCCCUUUUGUUGGGAAAGAAAAGCAGCAGGUUAAUACCCCGCUGUUCUGACGGUACCCAAAGAAUAAGCACCGGCUAACUUCGUG
RNAcentral lists this ribosomal RNA (492 nucleotides) under uncultured bacterium. RNAcentral's name for it is "partial 16S ribosomal RNA". It matches the Rfam family "Bacterial small subunit ribosomal RNA", at positions 29 to 507 of the family's 1533-position model. The record is from RNAcentral.